Molecule: transfer RNA, 76 nt
Filed under: Anaerolinea sp.
Lineage: Bacteria; Bacillati; Chloroflexota; Anaerolineae; Anaerolineales; Anaerolineaceae
Description: tRNA-Thr
Rfam family: tRNA
About the family: Transfer RNA (tRNA) molecules are approximately 80 nucleotides in length. Their secondary structure includes four short double-helical elements and three loops (D, anti-codon, and T loops).
Source: RNAcentral
GCCACCGUAGCUCAGUUGGUAGAGCAGCCGCUUCGUAAGCGGCGGGUCGCGGGUUCGACUCCCACCGGUGGCUCUA